UGCUGGGAUCUUUCAAUCACCAAAAGAAGUUAAGAACACUAUCGGGAGUAAAAACUCUAAUUUUGGCCUCACGAAACGGAAAGACCAAAACUCCCAGAUGUCACUGUUCAUCUUUUCACAAUGAGAAAAAUUGCACUGCAGAUUUGCUAUUGGAUAGGCCCCAGUCAAGAGGUUUGGGCGUUGGAGCAUCAGAGAGAUUUUGCAUA
RNAcentral lists this long non-coding RNA (206 nucleotides) under Mastacembelus armatus (zig-zag eel). RNAcentral describes it as "lncRNA (ENSMAMG00000025540.1)". The record is from RNAcentral. Lineage: Eukaryota; Metazoa; Chordata; Actinopteri; Synbranchiformes; Mastacembelidae.